Molecule: ribosomal RNA, 484 nt
Filed under: uncultured bacterium
Lineage: Bacteria
Description: partial 16S ribosomal RNA
Rfam family: Bacterial small subunit ribosomal RNA
Source: RNAcentral
GACGAACGCUGGCGGCGUGCUUAACACAUGCAAGUCGAACGAUGAAGCCGGAGCUUGCUCUGGUGAAUUAGUGGCGAACGGGUGCGUAACACGUGAGUAACCUGCCCUUGACUCUGGGAUAACUGCGGGAAACUGUAGCUAAUACCGGAUACGACCCUCGGAGGCAUCUCCUGGGGGUGGAAAGAAUUUCGGUCAAGGAUGGACUCGCGGCCUAUCAGCUAGUUGGUGAGGUAAAGGCUCACCAAGGCGACGACGGGUAGCCGGCCUGAGAGGGUGACCGGCCACACUGGGACUGAGACACGGUCCAGACUCCGACGGGAGGCAGCAGUGGGGAAUAUUGCACAAUGGGCGCAAGCCUGAUGCAGCAACGCCGCGUGAGGGAUGACGGCCUUCGGGUUGUAAACCUCUUUUAGCAGGGAAGAAGCGAAAGUGACGGUACCUGCAGAAAAAGCACCGGCUAACUACGUGCCAGCCGCCGCGGUAA